Molecule: long non-coding RNA, 12699 nt
Organism: Apis cerana (Asiatic honeybee)
Lineage: Eukaryota; Metazoa; Arthropoda; Insecta; Hymenoptera; Apidae
Source: RefSeq, a predicted model, not a curated record
CGAUGACGAUGCACUCGAGCAGAGCUGGUUUAUGUUCCUCCACCAUGAGAGGCUUUAUCGGUGUCGCGAAAUGUGGCGCUAUGCCCUCUUCUUCUUUUUCUGCAGAGAAAGAAAACGUUAUGGAUGGCAAUCGUUGAAUCAUCACUCGUUUGAGGGAAAAAGAUAUCUGAUUAUCAUGCUAAAAACAAACUGGCAGACUGGUACGCGAAAUGAAAUGUGGAUCGGGUAAGUGAUUUAUUAUGUAUGUUAAAUUAUCGUUUUAAAGAUUUAAUGAUUCGUUUCUAGUGGAAUAUAUGGUGUAACGAAUUAUCUUUAAUUAAUUAUAGAUAUAAUCAUGUAUUUAUAAUUAAUUAUAGAAAUUAGUUUGUUAUAUUAUUUGUAUUUUAUUGUAAGUUAAUGCAAUACAUACUUAAGUUUAAUUGAUAAUACGUAAUAAUGGUUUUCAAUAAUCAUUUUGUAAAUAUAUACAGUUAAAAGAUUUAAAAGUUGUAAUAUUAAUUGAUUUUUGUAAAAACAAUUUGUAAAGUUAUAUAAAUAUUUAAAUUAUUUACUAUAUAAUAAAUCAUACAAAAAAAAUUCAAUUAAUUAAGAAUUACAAAUCGAUCAUUUAAUUAUUUUAUUUCUCCCAUAAUAUCUUUUAUUAAAACUAAUUUUUUUUUGCUAUAACUUUCUGAGAAAUCAAAAAUAUUAAAAAAUUAUUUUAUAGAGUAAAAUUAUUUCAACUUUGAAAUAUCACAUAUAGAAAAAAUAAUAGACAUAUGUCAUUACAUAAAUCAUAAAUACAUAUGUCAUCUAAUUAAUAUUUCAUAGAAUAUGCAAAAUAUUGUAUUCAUAAUUACAAUUAUAACAAUUACGUAUCGUUUGUAUAAAAAUUCUUAUUUAAUAUUCAAAAUAUCAACAGGACGAAUAACGAUUCAAUUGAAUUCAAAAAUUGUAGUGCCAAGCAAAACGAUAUUAGGAUUAGAUACGCAUAAAAACAAAAAAUUUAUUUCCAUUCGUAAAUCAUGUCAAAAUUCCUCUACGGAUCCAACAAUAAAAAGUUUACGUUUUCUAGUUCACAAUUUUACGCUAAACACAACUUGUGAACUGUGAAAUGGAAAAUUGAAACGAUCAAAAAUGAUUUAUUUUCAAUUUCUGUGUUCUUCUUGUAUCUCGAUUUCACGAACAAUGCCGUCAUUUGUGCUAUAAUAUGCCAAACGAGAGCCCAUCCAAGCGGAGGAUAUUUUUAAUUAUUACCACCACAGCCACUGUACAACUCGAAUAAAAUGAACGAGUCUGAAGGAAGGAUGGAAUAAUUAGACCAACCGAGAUUGCAAACAGGAAACGAAUCAUGUUUCAUUUUAAUAUGAUACAUAUAGUCAGUUACAGAAGUCUUGACAGACAAAUCCAACUAAUAAAUUGUAUUAUCAAAACCAGCAAUAAUUUUGUUUCAUAUGAUUGUAAUAUAAUACUGUAAAUAGAUCACAAUGAUCUAAGCUCUUUCUUUAUUUCUUUCUUCAUUUAUUAGAUAAAAUGUUAAAAUUUCAAUCAAAUAAUAAUAAUAAUAGCUUUUAUUAAAAUUAAUAAAAUUUUUGUACAUAUAAAUGAUUUAAUAUAAAAUUUGUCAUAACUAUAAUAAUAAUUAUUAAAUUUAAUAAAUCUAUAAGACGAUGAAAUUUUUGUUAUAUAUAAAAUUGCAACAUAAAUGAGAUGAAUAAAUAAUUUAACUGAUGAAUAUUUGAUCUUGGAUAAAAUAAAUAAUAAAAUUAAUAAUCAAAAUCUAAUAUUAUUCAUUAGAAUCAUUUUUAUUCGUUUAAUAACUUUAAUAAAAGGAUGAAAUCGAUCCUUAUAUAAGAAUCGAUUCUUAAAUAUUAUUUUUUAUUUCUUUUUCAAAAUAAUAAAUUUUAAAUUGAAUCUGAAAUCUGAAAUAUUCAAAUUUUAAUACCUCUUAAAAAAUAUUUCGAAAGAAAAUUUUAUAUACGAAAUAAAUUGUUUCAUAUAUGUAAUUUUGUGCAACAAUAAGUUUUCAUUAAAAUCCAAUUUUUCAAAAUAGGCAAAUUCCCAUUACAAUAUUUGAAGAUACUUUUGUGACUGAUUGUAACAUAGAAACAAUGAAUGACGACACACGGCCGGUUUGCAAAAUAAAUUUGCGGAUAAAUCACAAUUUCAAUUAAUCAUAAUAUGGUCAUACGGCAAUGUAACCCGGGUCUUAUAAAUUUUCCUUGGUAUUCGCGUGUAAAUGCACUUGAAAAUUUACGUUUCGCAACGUCUGGAUGGCCUAUGGACCAGGUCCAAGUCGACCUCGCAAAAGAGAAAUCAAGGCACAUCGCCAACGGAUCGGCCUUCGAAAAACCGAGUUAUUCGGAUUGUUAAUAUUCUGAUGUGAAAUAAUAAUCUUGAUGAAGCGAGAUUUAUUUUUAAAAAUAAAUCACAUCUGAUUCCACGAUCUUCCAUUUCAAAACAGAUUAUACUUUUGCGUAACGAAUUUACAGCAUCGUAGUUAUAUCGAAUCGAAUAAAUUUCAUAAAAAAAUCGCGAAACUUGUUUGUUUUAAUGUCAUGAUUUUUUCUGUUUUCUUUUCUUCUGUUUCGUUUUCUUUUUCUCUUUUUUUAAGAAAAGAGAUUGAAUUUAUGACCAUAGUUGUUUUCGAAAGGAAGAAUUAACCAAUUCUCAAAACGUUGAAAAUGGUCGGUUCAAGCAUGAUGGUUACUUGAUUUCUUUUUCAUCCUCAGCAGGAGGCUUUGCCGUAAUAUCAACGAAAUCGUGGAAUACGGUCUGGUCUUAAACUUCGCGUGACUUUAUUUUUAAACACAACAAGAAACGAACGAUUCGUUAUCGGUUAGGGAGAAUCCAAAUGAAACUUUUUUGCAGUUCUAUAUUUUUUUUUAAUUUUUUGUCUUUUUUUUAUGGGUUAUUUGUAUUAACCAUAAACAAUCUUUCCCCUAUGGGAAUGAAUAAUUAAUAAGAUUCUUUUGUUUUUUGUGUUGAAUUAAUCCAAAUAAACAAAAAAUAUUAAUAAAACUAUAUGAAUGGAUAUUAUUAAUUUUAUAAAUUACGUUUCUAGUAUAAUUUACAAAUCAAUUGGAUAUAAUACUGAAAUACCAUGAUCUGACAUAUCAUGGAUAUUGUUAUUAAACUUUGUUAUUUUCUAAAUUAUUUUUAAAUUAUUCUCUACUUUCUUCAACUAUUUCAAAACUUCUUUGAAUAACUUUUAUUGACAAAUUUCAAAUUUCAAAUUUUCUAAUUAUUCACUGUUUCUUUCAGUCAUAAUCGCAGAAUUCUUUUUUAAAAUUUUUAAUCUUCUUAAUUUUUUACAAAAUUAUUAAGAAGUCCUUCAGCAGUCAAUUUUGCAAUUCGAAAUUUUCUUCAGAAUUCCAACAUCUGUAAUUUUUUUACAAUUUUUUUUUUUCAAACUUUCAUAUCAACAUUCCUAUCAAUAUCUUCCUUCUUCCAAAAUCCCUUUCAACAUCGAUUCUCUAACUAAAUCUUUACAAAUAUCAAAAAAAAAAAAUUAUUCAACCAUCAAAAUUCCAAUAAUUUACUCUUCCUUCUCCAUCUCCAAAUCAAACGAAACCAAAAAUAAAAAAUUCUUUUCCAAAAAUUCCAACGAAACGAAUGCAUUCCAACAAAGUGCACAGUCAGAGUUGGACAUUGAUUCAUUGAAAAAGUAAUUAAUUAAAAUUAUUUUAAUCGUAAUCACUUAUUAAAAUGCUUGAACUACAUUUAUUCAUAUAUAUUAUAAUUGAUUUGCUUUUCGCAUAAUCUCGAUCGUUUCUUUUUUUUUUUAAUUAUAUUUUGAACAAUAAACCGAUUGAAAUAACUUUAUUCAAAUUAUUAAAUUUAUUUUCCCCAUCACUGUGCAUAGCGCUUCCAGCACACAAGUGCUCGGUCCCGUCUCUCGUCUGUUAGACACCAACGUUUCCACGAAGAGUAGGUGCAACGCGGAAGCACCGUCUAGCAUUCCAAGCUCGCUAAUAACCCGGCGGCGGGUCAUUAUUCUAGAAGGAGGUGACGGCGGUCGCCACGCAGUUUCCCACUCAAAAUGAAAAACCCGAACGCGAACACGUGGAGGGGAUGAUGCAUGCAGAGGCUACUUUCAGUGGCCGACGACUUCAGUAUACGUUGGUGGGGUUGGACUCUCGUGUCUCACGCACGCACACUCUCUACCCCGAGCUUAGUCUAGCCUUAAUAGUCAUCCACUGGAAGCCGGAGACGAUCGAAUCUGUCCUCCGCCACAAUCAUGCGUCCGUCCUCUCUGAAUUUUCCAUCGUUUUUUCGCGCCAUCGUCGACCGUCCAAGGAGAGUGAUUCAUGAUAUAGGUGGGCAAGACAAUGGUUGUUGUUUAUUAUGCCGAGUCUCGUUCUUGGUUGACACGUGAUGACGGAUGGAAUGAUACAAUAACGCUAGGAUUUAACGGAUGACACACGGAAAUUUAUUCGAUGAAUCAUUCAUACGAUUGGAGUGGUCAUGUACAGAAAUAAAAAUAAAAUCAACGUUUAGCGAGACGUGGUUGUCCCUGACCUUCUUCUUUCCCUCGUUUACACUAAUUUCAUUCAAUUUCUACUAAUCUCUUUUAUAUAUAACAAUAUAUAUUUCUAAAAAUUUAUGUUUAAUUCAACAGUGUAUCAAGGGAUAUAACAUAUCGAUUUAUAAUAUAUUAUAAUUAUAUAUUUAAAUUCCUAUUAAUUUUUAUUACUAUUUACAAUUGUCAAAAAUUUAUUAGUUAUAGAAAAAUAUGUAUUCUUAUAUUUAAAGAUACAGAUUAAGUUAUCUAGGAUAAAAUUCUACAGUAUAUAUCUUUAUUAUUUAUUACUACAAAAAUUUUUUUCCAAUACUUUUUUCGAAACGAUUGCCUAUUUUAAAAUUCCUUCCAAUCACAUCCCACUAAAAGUUAAUUCCUCGAGGCAAGAAUCGAGCCGAUAUAUUUCACGAUGUAUCGUCGAAAAUAAUAAAAAAUACAAGUUCAAAGUCGAGGUAACGAUAACAAGGGAUUAACAUCGAUUCAGCUCGAAGCCAGUUGGAAGCGGAGCCGGAAUAAGCCGACCGAUCCGUGACGACGGCCAACACUGUGACCGUGUAUCUCGACGUUUCUCUGUUGAGUGUGAAUCGAGGGCCUCCCUCGCCGCCACGCGAGGAGCGAUCGAGGGGCCGUGGAUCAACCAGAAAUAAUUCGUUCCCGUGUUCCAGAGUGCGCUGACACCCGCUCCACUGUAUUAUUUCUAGCGGAUCUGAAUCACUGAGGCAGCUGGGAUGGCCGAAAUAGUCGGCUUCGUCGGCGGCUUCUGCCUCCCUCCAUCGACGCCUGGCCGAACGGGCAAACAGUCGUUAACGAUCAAGCAACGGCUGGCCGCUGUGGGUGGAAGAUGGAAAAGAAGGGCCCGAACACGCACGCACAGGAUGAAUCAUUGCCCGUUUCUUUUUCUCCCUCUCUCCACCCCCUCCCUCCCCUCGACCGGCAGACAAGAUGUUUGGCAGUUUGUCUUCUUCUUGAUGGCGGUUCAGGUAGUUCGGUCGUCGUUGAUUCAAGGUCGUGCGAAUAAGUCGAUGAAGGAGAGUAAAUGAUGUGGUUCGAACAAAAAUAGGAAUUUGUUCUUCUUGGAGAAUCCUUUUGGAGAAUGAGACAAUGUGAUUAUGGAGGAGGGAGGGAUGACUAUUGAACAUUUGUGAAACGAGGAAUCUAGUUUUUAUGGAAUUCUUCGAGAAUUAUAUUGGAGAUGAGGAAGAUUGAAUUAAUUUUUUUUUAAUCUUUGGGGAAUCGUUAAUGGAAUUCAAGGAAUUAAUCUUGAAAAUGCACGAUGAGGAAUUUAUGGAUUUCUGGAAUUCUCUAACGAUGCGUUUUUAUAUACGAAAAGAUAUCUGGAAUAACAAGAUGGAAAAUGAAGAACGAAGAUCAGAGGAUAAAACGAAGGGACUUUAUUUUUCUUUUAAGGAUUCUGGAUUAAAAUCAAAUAUCGUGUGUACAAUAGGAAUUUGUUUCGAGAAUGAGAAAUAUCUGUUUCAGAUUCAAGAGACUGAUGUCAUUGAUUUUUCAGAGAAUCGUUUUGGUUUUGUCUCUUUUAUGAUAAUUAAUGCAAAUAAGCAUAGAAUAUAUUUUUCGUAAAAAUUAUAAUUUUGAAAAAUCUUAUAUCAUAGUCAGUUUCUUGAUCUUUAUUCUUUGUGUACACAAAGAGAAAUCUAUUUUUAAAGAAUUUUAAAUUCGACACGUGGCCUUAUGCUUCUUAUGAUCAAAGUAAUGGAAUUUUUCUUCCAAAGAAAAAAAUUUCUACUUGAUUUCUAUUCAAAUAAGAAUCCGUUCUUCUUUAAAAUUCAUUAACGAUUACAUUACAUUUUGUAUAAACAAAAUUUUAAAAUUUCUCUUACAUUACAAUCUAAAAAUUCAUGUACACAAAGAAGAAUUUUGUCCAGGACACGUAAUAUUAUGGUGGAUAGAAAUCUUAAGGGUCUCUGAAAUCCUUGAGAAAAUAUUUCUCUAUAUAUUUCAUCCGACAAUCUUCUGUUGUUGUCAAGUCGGUUAUUUCGGCAUCUCGAAUUCAUUAGUGCACAGCGAGGGACGAUAAUUACCUCUCGUAUAGCGGUUUAACAGCCUUGAUCUCAUAGCACGAUCACUCACACACGCUCGAAAUAAUCUCAUGCACGAUAUGUAAUUUUCUUGGUUCUUACCCAGCUAGGCCGAAUCUAACAUUUAUUUAUGAUCGACGAAGAUAUUGGGAUUGUUUCUCUUUUUGUUCUCCCUUUUCCAUGAUUAUUUCUCAUCGAUAAUUAUUAAAAUUCGAUUUUUUUAAAAAUUCGUAAUCGCCAUUUAUUUAAAACGAAAUUUAUUAAUUGUUUAUUCUUCAUGAAACGUCCCCCAUUACUUUCCUCGCUUUGUUCCAUCUUCUUUCUUAAAAUGAAUUUUAAACGAAAUGAAUCUUUUCCAAAUAUUAAAUAGAUUAAAUAAAAAUGAUCCGAGUAAAUAUGACAGAUUAAAUAAAUAAAAUCAGAUUAGGAGAAUAAUCUAUGCAUAGAAGAAUUUCUUAUUCCAUUCGUCAUUUUUAUAAACGAUUUGCAAUUUCAAGUUUAAAACAAAUCAUAUUACAAAUAUAUCAUUAUAUUCCUUUCCCUCGUCUCAUCGAAUAGUAUACGAAUAGUAGUAGAAAUAUAUAUACUAGUUACAAUAAAUAACAAUUUAAUUGUAAGAAAAAUUCUAUAAGAAAAUUACAAAUAACGCCAUAAAUUUCUUGGUAUUAUACCAAUUACAAUUAAAUUCCAGCUAUCUAACGAUAUAAUUCUCACGUUAAGAACAAAGUUAAAGAACGUCUUCGAGACUUUGGCACGUUGAAGAAGAUGGCGGAUUCAUUACGAUGGACCCGUCCCUACCCUCCCCGCGAUUAAUCAAACGGCUGUGCAGACCGGAUUCACGGUCUAAUUUUGCAUCAGGUCGUCGGUUCGUAACGGUGUCGUGCGAGGACCGGUCAAGUAAUAUGACGAUGAUCCUCCUCGCGAGGCUGAAACGCGCUGGGCAACACGAGAAUACCACUGUUCCGUACACGGAGCAUCGUGCGCUGGAUGCAGGCCUGGUUCACGUAAUGGAACGCGAGGGAAUCUUCUUUGUUUCCGGUCACGCGCGUUGAUCAUGGAGAGUUACGGAUCUGCUCCAGUUUUAAUCUUUCUUUAAGAAUAAUUUCGAGACAGGGAUAAUCUUUAUUCUGCGCUUUCAACGAGAAGAAAUUAUGAAAUUAUUCUAUACGAUAAAUUUAUAUUUUUAAAAAAUGUAUUAAAAACAUAUUAUUAUCGUCUUUUAUUUUAAAAUCAAUUUUUAAUUUAACAUAUUCAUUGCUAGUUUGGAUUUUUCAUUAUUUUUCAUUAUUUGUUAUUACUAGAUAAUAAUAUAGUGAUAAUAAUUUCAGUUUCAUCAAAGAAAUUAAAAAAAGUUAAAGUUUGAAUUAUAUUAUAGCAUUAAAUUUAUUUCAUUUAAACAUCAGGAAAAAGUAAGCAAUUACAUAAAUUUUCCAGUUGGUACUAAUUAUUGCUAGAUAUUCCUUGAAUUUUAUUUUCACUCUGCACUUUCUAUAAAUUUCUAUAAAAUAUCUUUUCAUACUUUAAAAGUUUAAAAAAAAUUUCCUCAUUUAAUCUACAUCUAAUUUAUACUAUCCACUGUAACAUCUAAUUGUCAUAAUUUCAUAAAAUCUAUUAUGAAAUAACUCGAGGAAUCGAGGAAUAAGCAGCGAAAUUUAAUGUCAUGUUAUCAUUGAAUAUAACAGAAAAUUUUGCAAUAAUACAAUUUUAUUUAUUAAAAAUCAAAAGCUAAAUCAAUUCGUAAUUUCUCAAUUUUUCAAAUUAAAAUAACAAAAUCUAACUAAAUUAAUCUUCGAAAAAAUGGUGUUGCAUUUCUCUGCUAUUAUAAUAGUAUCUAUCUUAAUAAUGUUACAAAACAAAAUCAUUUAAAAUAAUUGCAAGAUAUCAUCCAAUUAUAUUUAUUUUUAUCGCAGAAUAGAAUUCGACUCUUUCUCAUACAUCAUAGAGUCGCAUUAUCUAUUUAAAUAUGAAUUCGCAAUGACAAUACCGAACAAAAUUAUAAGUUGCACUGCACCCUAUCAUUUAGAUAAUUCAUAUUUCAAUCAAAGAAAAAAAUUGAAAUUCUUCUCACAACUAUAUAUCCUCUAUAUCUCGAAUGAUAAUAUGAAAUAAAAUAAUUCGUUGGAUCGCAUCGUAUCGCAUCACACUCGAUGAUGCUCAAUAAUGAUACGACACGAAGAACCCAUCCAAUCGAAUUGUCUCUCGAGCAAAAUAUCGAAAAGUGGUAUCGUGCACUCGUGUGCACGAUAUCGAAGCAAGAAGAUUCUAGACCCCACGUGAAUUUUGCUGUAUGUUCGCCGAGUUCUUCAUCGGCGACCAAAUAUAGCCGGGUAAUGUUAUACACGUCACGUGGUCAGAAAUAGCCUAAGAAGAGGGCCUAGCCGAGUGUGCACACGGCACUGUGUGCACCCUCCGCCGUCCCUCCGUUUUGAAACGAGGCGGACUACCAGAAGCGAUGAGGAAAAUACGUUUACCUCUUCACGCUCGUUAAACCAGUUACCAGAGAGAAAGGUGAUACCGGGUACAGACAGAAACAUGGAUUGUAAAAGACGAGUGUAUAAGCGGUAUACGUCGGUGGAAAUCCCUCGCGUCAGGCAAUGACAUAUAACGAGGGAGACGAAAAUUUUUUUUUUUUCUUGAGGCUUAAGGCAGCUAUGAUUCUCGAAUAGAAAAAUGAAAAUUAUACGGGGAAAAGAUUUUUCUAUGAUUCUUUAAGAAGAAUACAUUUUUUUUCCUUUAAAUUAUUUUAUUAUGUAAUAUAAUGGGGAAAUAUUGAGAUAGAACAAUGGAAUUUGGAAUCAAUGGAUCUUCUUUAUCGUUUAAGAAUUGUAUAAUAAAUUUUUAACUUUCGUUGUGUUAUUUGAUUAAUUUUAAAAUUGAUUUUAAGAUUAGAUUAGAUUUAUUACUGUAUUUAUAAUUGGUAAUACUAAUUGAUUUAACUAUGCAUGAUUAUAGAUUUUUUUAUAGAUUGGAUUAAAUGAUAUAAUUGAAAUAUAUGUAAUUAAAAUUAUCUUUUAUUUAAUUUUAUUUAAAAUAUAUUUGAUAAAGAAUUAAAAAAUUCUGGAUAUAUUUAAUGUCCAAAUUGUUUAUUUGAAUCAAUAUAUAAUUAUUUUUAUUAUAUAUAUGAUUAAUUUGCAAGCAAUAUGAAAAUUAUACUAUUAUUAUUUUAUUUUAAAAAAAAAAUAUUUCAAGAAAAUUUAUUAAAUUCAAUGUUAAUACACAAUUUUAAUUACUCGAUUUUUAUUAUCCACUACUGAUUAUUUUUCAUCAAAUUUUUAAUUUUCUCUUUUUAAAUUUCCCGCCUAAAAUAAAUGCGAACCAAUAAAAUUUCAAUUUUUCAAUUAUUAUGUGCCAAACAUUUGUUAUCAAAUUCCUAAUUUUAUCUUUAAUCUACUAUUAUUAUCCAUCCAUGAAUAUUCAAUUCCAAUUACUAAUAUUCUCUUUUCAAAAAUUCCCGCCUCAAAUAGAAACGAAUUGGUGAAAGGUGUUAUAUACUACCCCGGCCCGUAAUGUCGUCUUAAUAUACACGGCCAACUCUGAAACAACUUGAACCUCCUUCCAAGAACCUCGCGAACCGCCUAAACUUCUAAACUUCACACGUUUCUACACUUUUCUCGAACGAAACUCAUCAGAUUUUGCUUUCGUUUUUCGAUGUCAAAUAUAGCCCUGCAUCUGGACUUGGUUUCAAAGCAAAGUAGCAACACUUCGGCUCCUUCUCUUCCCUUAUUUUAGCCGUGUAUAAAUCUGCCAAGUGUUGCACCGUGGGGAUCGCUCGUUAACAAUCCUCGCGACUCAUUGUCCGAUCGAUCGUCACGCUGAUUAAGAACAGCCCGUUUCUAUUUCUAUCCACCUCGAUUUCCAUCCAACGAUUCACCCACCCCGUUACGAAAGUUUCGCAUUAUUUUCAAGGUGGUGAGCCGGUUUACGAGCCGUGAUUCAUUCCGUGUGUACCGCGGUGUUUUCGGGUACACAUUUCGUAAGCAAAACGCGGACGAAUUUAUGACGCGGGGAAACGUGGCUGGCAGCAAUUACGUUGCGGACUGCAAAAGUCAAUUUACAUUCGCUGCUCCUAUAUUUGUCCGCAGCCUGGCGCAUUCGUACAUUCCGAGACGAUAAUCUUUUAUGCGGGAGAAAGGCUUUCUUUUCUGAUUCAGAGUUUUGCGAUUAUUUUUCUGAUUUUUUUUCUUUUUUUUUUUUUAUUUGGGAUGUUUGAUGAUUUUGUUGUUGAUGUUUUUUUUGAGAUAUUUAAUUUUGAUAAUAUACUAUUCAUCGAUUUUGAUUUUAAUAUAAUUUUUGGUUAAUUUGAUAGAUUUCUUUAGUUUAGAGUGUUGCAUAGGAAAUUCCUCUGAUUUUAUUUUUUUUUGUUGAUUUUUGUUUUACAUUUGUUUAGGAUAAUUUUUAGGAUAUUUAAGAUCUUUCAUAAAAAAUUCUUUUGAAUUUAUACAAUGAUUUUUCUAUUUUUGGAAUAAUUUUUGAGGUAUUUAAUGUGUUUCAAGGAAAAUUUUUUUUAAUUUAACUAUGUUGAUUGAUUUUCUUUUGUUUGAGGUAAUUUUUUAGAGUAUUAAAGUCACUUGUGGGAAAUUCUUUUCAAAUUUAAUUUUUUUUCGCCUUUUUUUCUGUUUCGAAUAAUUUCGAAUCUUUAAAAUAUUUCAUAAAACAUUUUUUUAUCCUCAUUUUUCUUAAAAUUGUAUUUAUAAUAUACUUUUUCAAUAAUAUAUUUUAAUUUUGAUAUUUAGAAAAAUUUUAUAAUCCAAUUUUUCGUUACAAUUUAAUUUUUGCGUUUAACAUUUCAAAUUUUCACUCACAUGAUUAUGCAUAUGUAACUAUGAAUUUCGAGAUGCCAUCAAUGAUAAAUAUUUCAGUAGACCCUUAAUCAAUCCUAAUACAUAAUAUAUGCAAUGCUAGAUCGAAUCGGCAACAAACGAGGCUUGUGCGUACUUAAAACAUUGAUUUUUAUUGGCCUUUCCAUUGUACAAUAAUAAAUAAUCGAUUAGUAAAACGUUAAAGGAGAAAUUAUUUAUGUGUAGGCUGUGUAACUAAAUAAACUUCAUCAUCACGUCAGUGUAGAACUAACUAACAAAUCAUUCCUAAUAUAAUAAUAUAUUUAAUGCAUCAUGUGAAUAAUGUAUAUACUUAUACGUAUAUAUUAUAUAUAUAUUUUUUUACGAUAUAUAUAUUUUAUCAUAUUUUUUCCUUUUUUUUCCUUUUUUUUCAAUAAUGAACAUCGAACGAGCUAAAUCGAACGAGUAAACGAGUUACGUGUUCAUUGUACCGUUUCCAAAAGAUCCAAAUUUCUCUUUUCACCCAUAUUUCUUUCAUCACAUUUUUUUUUAUUUCGAUUCCAUAGUUCGAUAUUAUUCAAAUUUCCCGCCAUCGAGAUUUAUAUACAAAGCGGAGCAAAAGAGGAGAAUUCGCAGCGAUUCGUUCUCAAAAUUCUCAAGCGAUUCUUGUGUCAAGCACCACCUCAUUAAAUACCAAAAUCAAUCAAAAAGAAUCGAAUUCGACCAUUCAAAAAGACGCUCGUAGUCUCAUGUGUCUCGCUCUCGUAAAUUGCAUCUUGAUGGAAAAUCGACUACGCUUUUAUAGGUCGAAUCUCGACACGAUUCGAUUUUUUUCGUUUUCCACCUUAAACGAGUUCAAUUCUACAAAACAUUUUACCAUUUUUUUAAAUUGAAACCGAUCUCAUUUUCAGCACCACCUCCGCGAUAUUUCUCACUUUUAAUCUUAAUUUUAAAUUUGUUGCAUCUAAUAAUUCUUUCCUUCUAUACUGAUUAUAAUUAUAUCUAUACUUCUCUAUAUAAUUAUCUAUUUCUUUUUGUUCUAUAAAACAACAAAUACACUCGAGACAAAAAUUUUUGCCUCUCUACAAAAACAUGUAUCACUUUUCUCGUUUCACUCGCUCGUCUACUAUUUUUCUAUAUUUUUUUUUCUAUUUUACUUAUUAUUAUGUUUUUUUCUUUUUGAGAAACAAAAAGAACAAAAAAAAACACGACAAGUUAGUACAAAACUCCCCGGCCUCGCUCGUGACUUUGAUUAAAAAAGGGUCGAGAGCGGGGAACAAGGGGUUGAACAUUGGUAACGAUUCGCUUGGUGGGUUAGGUAUCUUCUUUUUUUUUCUUUUGUAGAGAAAAACAACAAAAAAGCGAAAAAAAAAAAAAAUAAAAA